RNAcentral lists this long non-coding RNA (233 nucleotides) under Populus trichocarpa (black cottonwood). RNAcentral's name for it is "long non-coding RNA (PTRI_LNC001967)". The record is from RNAcentral. Lineage: Eukaryota; Viridiplantae; Streptophyta; Magnoliopsida; Malpighiales; Salicaceae.
ACCAACCAGCCUGGAGUGGUCCAGCCUUUCACACGUGAUGACGCUCCUCCCUGCAAUUAUUUCCACCACCAUCAUCAAUGCUUUCUUUGGCUUCUAUAACUUUGGCCCCCAAUUAGCUAGCCAAAAAGCUUCCAAUCCUCCAAAUCUCUUGUAUCAAAGUUGUGGGUCCUUCGUUAGUAUUACAAUUAUGAUGUAUUGCCAAAUGUGUGAAAGUGUGGUGACAGUGUUCUGCC